RNAcentral lists this ribosomal RNA (562 nucleotides) under Salmonella enterica subsp. enterica serovar Enteritidis. RNAcentral describes it as "partial 23S ribosomal RNA". It matches the Rfam family "Bacterial large subunit ribosomal RNA", at positions 689 to 1249 of the family's 2925-position model. The record is from RNAcentral. Lineage: Bacteria; Pseudomonadati; Pseudomonadota; Gammaproteobacteria; Enterobacterales; Enterobacteriaceae.
CGGGCGUUAAGUUGCAGGGUAUAGACCCGAAACCCGGUGAUCUAGCCAUGGGCAGGUUGAAGGUUGGGUAACACUAACUGGAGGACCGAACCGACUAAUGUUGAAAAAUUAGCGGAUGACCUGUGGCUGGGGGUGAAAGGCCAAUCAAACCGGGAGAUAGCUGGUUCUCCCCGAAAGCUAUUUAGGUAGCGCCUCGUGAAUUCAUCUCCGGGGGUAGAGCACUGUUUCGGCUAGGGGGCCAUCCCGGCUUACCAACCCGAUGCAAACUGCGAAUACCGGAGAAUGUUAUCACGGGAGACACACGGCGGGUGCUAACGUCCGUCGUGAAGAGGGAAACAACCCAGACCGCCAGCUAAGGUCCCAAAGUCAUGGUUAAGUGGGAAACGAUGUGGGAAGGCCCAGACAGCCAGGAUGUUGGCUUAGAAGCAGCCAUCAUUUAAAGAAAGCGUAAUAGCUCACUGGUCGAGUCGGCCUGCGCGGAAGAUGUAACGGGGCUAAACCAUGCACCGAAGCUGCGGCAGCGACACUGUGUGUUGUUGGGUAGGGGAGCGUUCUGUAAGCC